Molecule: ribosomal RNA, 496 nt
Filed under: uncultured bacterium
Lineage: Bacteria
Description: partial 16S ribosomal RNA
Rfam family: Bacterial small subunit ribosomal RNA
Source: RNAcentral
AUGAACGCUGGCGGCGUGCCUAAUACAUGCAAGUCGAGCGAACGGACGAGAAGCUUGCUUUUCUGAUGUUAGCGGCGGACGGGUGAGUAACACGUGGAUAACCUACCUAUAAGACUGGGAUAACUUCGGGAAACCGGAGCUAAUACCGGAUAAUAUUUUGAACCGCAUAGUUCAAAAGUGAAAGACGGUCUUGCUGUCACUUAUAGAUGGAUCCGCGCUGCAUUAGCUAGUUGGUAAGGUAACGGCUUACCAAGGCAACGAUGCAUAGCCGACCUGAGAGGGUGAUCGGCCACACUGGAACUGAGACACGGUCCAGACUCCUACGGGAGGCAGCAGUAGGGAAUCUUCCGCAAUGGGCGAAAGCCUGACGGAGCAACGCCGCGUGAGUGAUGAAGGUCUUCGGAUCGUAAAACUCUGUUAUUAGGGAAGAACAUAUGUGUAAGUAACUGUGCACAUCUUGACGGUACCUAAUCAGAAAGCCACGGCUAACUACGUG